CCUACGUGUGGCAGCAGUGGGGAAUAUUGGACAAUGGGCGAAAGCCUGAUCCAGCCAUGCCGCGUGUGUGAAGAAGGCCUUCGGGUUGUAAAGCACUUUCAGUGGGGAAGAAAGCCUUGGGGCUAAUACCCUCGAGGAAGGACAUCACCCACAGAAGAAGCACCGGCUAACUCCGUGCCAGCAGCCGCGGUAAUACGGAGGGUGCGAGCGUUAAUCGGAAUUACUGGGCGUAAAGCGCGCGUAGGCGGUCUGAUAAGCCGGUUGUGAAAGCCCCGGGCUCAACCUGGGAACGGCAUCCGGAACUGUCAGGCUAGAGUGCAGGAGAGGAAGGUAGAAUUCCCGGUGUAGCGGUGAAAUGCGUAGAGAUCGGGAGGAAUACCAGUGGCGAAGGCGGCCUUCUGGACUGACACUGACGCUGAGGUGCGAAAGCGUGGGUAGCAAACAGGAUUAGAUACCCCGGUAGU
This 464-nucleotide ribosomal RNA is filed under the name Vreelandella stevensii. RNAcentral's name for it is "partial 16S ribosomal RNA". It matches the Rfam family "Bacterial small subunit ribosomal RNA", at positions 338 to 794 of the family's 1533-position model. Lineage: Bacteria; Pseudomonadati; Pseudomonadota; Gammaproteobacteria; Oceanospirillales; Halomonadaceae. The record is from RNAcentral.